This 443-nucleotide ribosomal RNA is filed under the name uncultured bacterium. RNAcentral's name for it is "partial 16S ribosomal RNA". It matches the Rfam family "Bacterial small subunit ribosomal RNA", at positions 338 to 795 of the family's 1533-position model. The record is from RNAcentral.
CCUACGGGUGACAGCAGUGGGGAAUAUUGGGCAAUGGGCGCAAGCCUGACCCAGCAACGCCGCGUGAAGGAAGAAGGCUUUCGGGUUGUAAACUUCUUUUCUUAGGGACGAAGAAAGUGACGGUACCUGAGGAAUAAGCCACGGCUAACUACGUGCCAGCAGCCGCGGUAAUACGUAGUUGGCAAGCGUUAUCCGGAUUUAUUGGGUGUAAAGGUCGUGUAGGCUGGAGCGCAAGUCAGAUGUGAAAGCUCAGGGCUCAACCCUGAGCCUGCAUUUGAAACUGUGAUUCUUGAGUGCUGGGGAGGAGAGCGGAAUUCCGUGUGUAGCGGUGAAAUGCGUAGAUAUACGGAGGAACACCAGUGGCGAAGGCGGAUUGCUGGACAGUAACUGACGCUGAGGCGCGAAAGCGUGGGGAGCAAACAGGAUUAGAUACCCGUGUAGUC